This 1370-nucleotide ribosomal RNA is filed under the name uncultured bacterium. RNAcentral describes it as "16S ribosomal RNA". It matches the Rfam family "Bacterial small subunit ribosomal RNA", at positions 28 to 1381 of the family's 1533-position model. The record is from RNAcentral.
GAUGAACGCUGGCGGCGUGCCUAAUACAUGCAAGUCGAGCGAACGGACGAGAAGCUUGCUUCUCUGAUGUUAGCGGCGGACGGGUGAGUAACACGUGGAUAACCUACCUAUAAGACUGGGAUAACUUCGGGAAACCGGAGCUAAUACCGGAUAAUAUUUUGAACCGCAUGGUUCAAAAGUGAAAGACGGUCUUGCUGUCACUUAUAGAUGGAUCCGCGCUGCAUUAGCUAGUUGGUAAGGUAACGGCUUACCAAGGCAACGAUGCAUAGCCGACCUGAGAGGGUGAUCGGCCACACUGGAACUGAGACACGGUCCAGACUCCUACGGGAGGCAGCAGUAGGGAAUCUUCCGCAAUGGGCGAAAGCCUGACGGAGCAACGCCGCGUGAGUGAUGAAGGUCUUCGGAUCGUAAAACUCUGUUAUUAGGGAAGAACAUAUGUGUAAGUAGCUGUGCACAUCUUGACGGUACCUAAUCAGAAAGCCACGGCUAACUACGUGCCAGCAGCCGCGGUAAUACGUAGGUGGCAAGCGUUAUCCGGAAUUAUUGGGCGUAAAGCGCGCGUAGGCGGUUUUUUAAGUCUGAUGUGAAAGCCCACGGCUCAACCGUGGAGGGUCAUUGGAAACUGGAAAACUUGAGUGCAGAAGAGGAAAGAGGAAUUCCAUGUGUAGCGGUGAAAUGCGUAGAUAUAUGGAGGAACACCGGUGGCGAAAGCGGCUCUCUGGCUUGUAACUGACGCUGAGGCUCGAAAGCGUGGGGAGCAAACAGGAUUAGAUACCCUGGUAGUCCACGCCGUAAACGAUGAGUGCUAGGUGUUAGACCCUUUCCGGGGUUUAGUGUCGCAGCUAACGCAUUAAGCACUCCGCCUGGGGAGUACGACCGCAAGGUUGAAACUCAAAGGAAUUGACGGGGGCCCGCACAAGCGGUGGAGCAUGUGGUUUAAUUCGAAGCAACGCGAAGAACCUUACCAGGUCUUGACAUCCCUCUGACCGUUCUAGAGAUAGAGCUUUCCUUCGGGACAGAGGUGACAGGUGGUGCAUGGUUGUCGUCAGCUCGUGUCGUGAGAUGUUGGGUUAAGUCCCGCAACGAGCGCAACCCCUAUUGUUAGUUGCCAUCAUUCAGUUGGGCACUCUAGCGAGACUGCCGGUAAUAAACCGGAGGAAGGUGGGGAUGACGUCAAAUCAUCAUGCCCCUUAUGACCUGGGCUACACACGUGCUACAAUGGCUGGUACAACGAGUCGCAAGCCGGUGACGGCAAGCUAAUCUCUUAAAGCCAGUCUCAGUUCGGAUUGUAGGCUGCAACUCGCCUACAUGAAGUCGGAAUCGCUAGUAAUCGCGGAUCAGCACGCCGCGGUGAAUACGUUCCCGGGCCU